This 480-nucleotide ribosomal RNA is filed under the name uncultured bacterium. RNAcentral's name for it is "bacterial SSU rRNA". It matches the Rfam family "Bacterial small subunit ribosomal RNA", at positions 43 to 524 of the family's 1533-position model. The record is from RNAcentral.
CAGGCCUAACACAUGCAAGUCGAGCGGUAAGGCCUCUUUGGGGGUACACGAGCGGCGAACGGGUGAGUAACACGUGGGUGACCUGCCCCCUACUCUGGGAUAAGCCUGGGAAACUGGGUCUAAUACCGGAUAUGACCACAUGUUGCAUGGUGUGUGGUGGAAAGCCAGUUACAUUUGUUUCUGGCGGUGGGGGAUGGGCCCGCGGCCUAUCAGCUUGUUGGUGGGGUGAUGGCCUACCAAGGCGACGACGGGUAGCCGGCCUGAGAGGGCGACCGGCCACACUGGGACUGAGACACGGCCCAGACUCCUACGGGAGGCAGCAGUGGGGAAUAUUGCGCAAUGGGCGGAAGCCUGACGCAGCGACGCCGCGUGGGGGAUGACGGCCUUCGGGUUGUAAACCUCUUUCGGCCCCGACGAAGCGAAAGUGACGGUAGGGGUGGAAGAAGCACCGGCCAACUACGUGCCAGCAGCCGCGGUAAU